CAGAGUAUACCCUAACCGUCCUCUCAACCCUGUGACCAUACGUAACCGUUUGCUCGGGGAAGACGGCCCGUAACAGCGGUGCUCGCGGCCCGCCGCGGAGACCAACUAACUCUGUUUCUAUACAUGUCAUAUCGAGCUAACUAAGCAACAUGAAUUGCCA
Molecule: unclassified non-coding RNA, 160 nt
Filed under: soil metagenome
Description: partial internal transcribed spacer 1
Source: RNAcentral